This 167-nucleotide unclassified non-coding RNA is filed under the name soil metagenome. Its description in RNAcentral is "partial contains 5.8S ribosomal RNA, internal transcribed spacer 2, and large subunit ribosomal RNA". The record is from RNAcentral.
AACGGUCUAUACCUGCGGUACCUGCGGAGGGAUCAUUAGUGAACGCCCUCACGGGCUUAUAACUAUUCCAAACCUCUGUGAACCGUGCCCUUCGGGGCUGUUUUACAAACAUGGUGUAAUGAACGUCAUAUAUCAUAACAAAACAAAACUUUCAACAAUGGAUCUCU